Molecule: ribosomal RNA, 455 nt
Filed under: uncultured bacterium
Lineage: Bacteria
Description: bacterial SSU rRNA
Rfam family: Bacterial small subunit ribosomal RNA
Source: RNAcentral
UACGGAAGGCAGCAGUGGGGAAUAUUGCACAAUGGGCGCAAGCCUGAUGCAGCCAUGCCGCGUGUAUGAAGAAGGCCUUCGGGUUGUAAAGUACUUUCAGCGGGGAGGAAGGCGAUGCGGUUAAUAACCGCGUCGAUUGACGUUACCCGCAGAAGAAGCACCGGCUAACUCCGUGCCAGCAGCCGCGGUAAUACGGAGGGUGCAAGCGUUAAUCGGAAUUACUGGGCGUAAAGCGCACGCAGGCGGUCUGUUAAGUCAGAUGUGAAAUCCCCCGGGCUUAACCUGGGAACUGCAUUUUGAAACUGGCAGGCUUGAGUCUUGUAGAGGGGGUAGAAUUCCAGGUGUAGCGGUGAAAUGCGUAGAGAUCUGGAGGAAUCCGGUGGCGAAGGCGGGCCCCUGGGACAAAGACUGACGCUCAGGUGCGAAAGCGUGGGGAGCAAACAGGAUUAGAUACC